AAGGAAUUUAUUUAGGGAACCCUGCUCACAAAAACACGACCUUGUUCUUUGGUGAAGCAAUUCACACUUGGUUUAUACCUCUACAAACACUAUUGUGAGCAUUUAUACUUGUGCACCAGUUGAUGCUCAAAAAAAACAACAAAAAAACACACAACUCAUUCUUAAUACAGUUUAAAUUUAUUAACAGUUGCCAGCAAAAUUCAUUUCAAAGUGCAUACCAGUUGCCAAACAGAUUACAAUCUAGUGUAAAAAUGCAUGUUUGUCUAUUACAGAUAAAUCUAGUCAUUCCUGUUAAUGAAACUAUGAAAUCAAUCAAAUACAUGCAGGAAAUGUUUUUUAUUUUUAUUAUUGGAUUUUUUUUUUUAAAUUCAUUGUGAAUUUGGGAGUAAACCAGAAUACCUGGUGUAAACCCUUGAUGAUGUUUGUUUUAUGUUUGUUUUUAAAUUCAUUAGGAAUGUCUUCCCAGCCUGAGCUUUUGUGAGCUCUCAUUAUUGCGUACAUGCCCUGUAUGUUCAGACCCCUUUUUAACUAUAGGUGGACGAGGUUUGAAUUGGCCCUGAUUAUUUGUGGGCUGCACCUUAUCAGAGAUAGGUGGUAAACGUACAUGCCCUGUAUGUUCAGACCCCUUUUUAACUAUAGGUGGACGAGGUUUGAAUUGGCCCUGAUUAUUUGUGGGCUGCACCUUAUCAGAGAUAGGUGGUAAACGUACAUGCCUUGUAUGUUCAGACCCCUUUUUAACUAUAGGUGGAUGAGGUUUGAAUUGGCCCUGAUUAUUUGUGGGCUGCACCUUAUCAGAGAUAGGUGGUAAACGUACAUGCCCUGUAUGUUCAGACCCCUUUUUAACUAUAGGUGGAUGAGGUUUGAGUUGGCCCUGAUUAUUCGUAGGUUGCACCGCAUCAGACGUAGGUGGUAAACGUACAUGCCCUGUAUGUUCAGACCCCUUUUUA
Molecule: long non-coding RNA, 947 nt
Organism: Lates calcarifer (barramundi perch)
Lineage: Eukaryota; Metazoa; Chordata; Actinopteri; Centropomidae
Exons: 3
Source: RefSeq, a predicted model, not a curated record